RNAcentral lists this ribosomal RNA (223 nucleotides) under Triticum aestivum (bread wheat). RNAcentral's name for it is "partial small subunit ribosomal RNA". Lineage: Eukaryota; Viridiplantae; Streptophyta; Magnoliopsida; Poales; Poaceae. The record is from RNAcentral.
GGUUGAUGCCGUCGGCCCAGGAGCAGCAGCUAGGCGCAGUAGAGCAGGUGGGGUCGGGUCAUGCUCGAGAGGUGGCUGGAGGAGAGCUGGGGCACUACCAACAGCUACGGUGACACUAGCUGAUGCAGUAGCUGCUGGGGGAGGAAGAGCGGACUCGUUGGUCUACAGCCUCGGGUCCUCGGUCUACGGUAGCGGCUACGAAUGAUGAUGCACCUCCGGCGAC